UUUUUCGAUCUUCUUUGUUCUUCUUUAAAACUGUUGUUACAAUAAAAAAAAACACCUACCACCAUUUUCAUCAAAACCCACACUGCAUUUCACUCUUCCCCAAGUACGCCUCUCACUGCCGCUUUGUCCCAGCCUCGACUUUCUCUCCUUCCUCUCCCUCUGCAUCUCCUCCAGUCCCUGAACCAAUUUCGUUCAACUUAUCAGCACCCCUAGGAAUUGAAUAAAGUAUUUUUUAAACCCUAAACCUGAAGUUUUUUUUCCUUCUUAAGUCAUGAGAUUUUGAGUUACGGUUAGUGCCUGUCGCAGGUUGUCUUCUGCCUUCCAAGUUUUCGACAGGUUAGGGAUUAAAUAAGUUUACAGCUAAUGUCGACUCGGAUUCGUCGAGCGGGAAAGGAAAAUCUAAAGUCUUCGACGAGUAAUUCAGAAUUUCUGAUCAGGAAUUUAACCAAACUGAGGAGAACCGGGGAAAAGGCAAAAUUAUCAUGAGUCUUUACAAUUCAACUUGUUUCUUGAUUUAACCAGAUUACCAACUUGCGGAACGUAUCAAGCGGAUCGUCGAGAAGCUCACACUAUCCCAUUAUUGAUUAGAUUACAUUUUGUGGACAGAAGAUUGGAUCAACUCGAGGAAUCACACUAUCCCGAGGACUCUUUUGGUACCUUUGUAAUUGGACGAAAAGUGAGCAUGAUUUUGGUCACUUUUGGGUACACAUGGCCUGGGACAUGGACUGUCACGUGGCCGUGUGUCACACACAGGCAACCCACACGGGUGUGUGCUCCUAGCAUGUUAGAUGCAGGGUUCACACAGACUAACAGACGACCUGCGACACGGCUGUGUGACCCAAGUUAGAGAGUUACACGACCCACGCACAUGGGCGUGUGAGACCACACACGGGCGUGUAGGAUGACCACAUGAUUUGGGCUCUGUCACACAACUUGGACACACAGCCAUGUGACCCCUAUUUUGGAAAUUUUUCAUUUUUUCCCAAUUCUCAUGUUUUGUUUCGAAUUGGUCCCAGAUUGUUCCUAAACUAUUUUU
Molecule: long non-coding RNA, 1036 nt
Organism: Gossypium raimondii (Peruvian cotton)
Lineage: Eukaryota; Viridiplantae; Streptophyta; Magnoliopsida; Malvales; Malvaceae
Exons: 7
Source: RefSeq, a predicted model, not a curated record